ACCUGGGUAGCUCAAUUGGUUAAGCGUCUGGCUUCAGCUCAGAUCAUGAUCUCAUGGUUCGUGGGUUUGAGCCCCGCUUCAGGCU
RNAcentral lists this transfer RNA (85 nucleotides) under Felis catus (domestic cat). It matches the Rfam family "tRNA". Rfam says of the family: Transfer RNA (tRNA) molecules are approximately 80 nucleotides in length. Their secondary structure includes four short double-helical elements and three loops (D, anti-codon, and T loops). Further hydrogen bonds mediate the characteristic L-shaped molecular structure. tRNAs have two regions of fundamental functional importance: the anti-codon, which is responsible for specific mRNA codon recognition, and the 3' end, to which the tRNAs corresponding amino acid is attached (by aminoacyl-tRNA synthetases). tRNAs cope with the degeneracy of the genetic code in two manners: having more than one tRNA (with a specific anti-codon) for a particular amino acid; and 'wobble' base-pairing, i.e. permitting non-standard base-pairing at the 3rd anti-codon position. The record is from Rfam by way of RNAcentral. Lineage: Eukaryota; Metazoa; Chordata; Mammalia; Carnivora; Felidae. RNAcentral also lists the same sequence under 1 other name.